UACGGGGGGGGUAAGCGUUGUUCGGAAUUACUGGGCGUAAAGGGCUCGUAGGCGGCCAACUAAGUCGGACGUGAAAUCCCUCAGCUUAACUGGGGAACUGCGUCCGAUACUGGAUGGCUUGGAUUUGGGAGAGGGAUGCGGAAUUCCAGGUGUAGCGGUGAAAUGCGCAGAUAUCGGGAGGAACACCGGUGGCGAAGGCGGUUCUCUGGGCCUGUUCUGACGCUGAGGAGCUAAAGCGUGGGGAGCGAACAGG
Molecule: ribosomal RNA, 253 nt
Filed under: uncultured bacterium
Lineage: Bacteria
Description: partial 16S ribosomal RNA
Rfam family: Bacterial small subunit ribosomal RNA
Source: RNAcentral